Molecule: non-coding RNA, 145 nt
Organism: Parasteatoda tepidariorum (common house spider)
Lineage: Eukaryota; Metazoa; Arthropoda; Arachnida; Araneae; Theridiidae
Source: RefSeq, a predicted model, not a curated record
UAAAUUUUAGAAAUUUUAGGAACUGUAUUUACACCAGUUAAGCAGGAUAUUAGUGGAAACAUAGAGAAAUUGAAUAAGAUUCAUCAAUCUGAUAAAACAAAAUUUGAAACCAUAAAUGAUGUUAUUGCAUAUGAACUUGAAGAAA